RNAcentral lists this transfer RNA (65 nucleotides) under Mileewa margheritae. RNAcentral's name for it is "tRNA-Arg". Lineage: Eukaryota; Metazoa; Arthropoda; Insecta; Hemiptera; Cicadellidae. The record is from RNAcentral.
AACAUAGAAGUAAAUAUUUACAUUUAGUUUCGACCUAAUUUUAAGGUUUAUUUAGCCUCAUGUUU